Molecule: long non-coding RNA, 3471 nt
Organism: Hemicordylus capensis (graceful crag lizard)
Lineage: Eukaryota; Metazoa; Chordata; Lepidosauria; Squamata; Cordylidae
Exons: 8
Source: RefSeq, a predicted model, not a curated record
UCCAAAGCCACAACAGCCACAACAGCAACAGAGAAACAACAGCAACAGAGAAGGCACGUCCCUGUCCCCUGCAGGCAGACCACUCCCGUACGACUGUCAAUAGUCAGGUUAGGUAUCGGAAAAGAUCUAUCACACACCAGGCAUCCCCAAGGAUUCACCUUGUUACCUUACCUAAGGAUCUUUUUGAGCAUUUCCCCAUGAUUAUAACAUGGCUUCUGUGAGAUUUUAGAAUUAGCAACAGGUGAAGCAAAACAACCUUUCUGGAUAUACAAACAUAUAAUUGGCAUGCAAAUAACAGUAAGCAAACACUGACAGCUUAAGCCCUCCUCUAAAUUCUAUGGUGUCAUACAAUACAGAUGCUGAAGAAGUAAUAAGUAAGACUCCAGAAAUCCUUGCACUCCUUACUGCACAUGAUGAUCUCUGGUGCUUAACAGCUUGUAUAAAUCGCAUGACAAGUUAUGUCCAGAAACAGGCAGCAUUGGCAGCAGUUAUAGUACUGCUGGAUCAUACUCCACUUCCCAGUUUCAGAAAUCUCAAGGCAAUCAACAUCAUCAUCAUCAUCAUCAUCAUCAUCAUCCAACAUUUGGCACUGUUGCUGCAGGUUACUGGCUGCCAUGCAGCUUUCGAGCUUGAAAGAUACUAAAGUCUGGAUUGCACAGAAUGAUUGUACUUUGCACUAGGGGCCUAUUCAUCUUGCAGAAUUUAUAAACAAAAACCUUACAAUCCUGUUGUUAAAAGUUGAACCUAUCACGUGCUUCAUCUCAUCCUGCAAGUCCAUCAACAAUGUUUCUAAGCCAUUCCAGGAACCCACAACUCCUCUUUGAUAAGUUUUAAUUUAUUAUACUCAUUUUGUUUAAUAUACUGCAUGAGGCAAAGGGAAAAUAUAUUACCUCAAUAUUUAUAUUGCAAAUUCUGGUGAGAUAGAGUUUGUUUAUACUAAUUCAUAUAUUGUAGUUGACAUCUUAAUGGAAAUAUUCUUGUGUGGAGUCAAGUCAGUUCACAUUAGGAUUUCUUGUGUGGGCCACCUAAUUUUUUUUAAUUGCCCAUUCUAUAGCAACUGCUGACAAGAGGAAGUGAUAUUAAGGAGGUGUGUACUGUACUACAACUUUCCUUUUCAGGAAAUUUGGCAAGGGGAAAUAAGGAUUGUGGGGGAGGGUUGGCCCACGUCUCAGUAGACCACCAUCACUGCACUGAGAGAGGCUUGAGAACUGCUGUCAGGCGGGAUUAAUCCUUUGAGGCUGAAUUAGACAGCUCUUGAAGCUAAACAAGGCAGACAUCCACCCUGUUUAUUGGACCAAAACUUUACAAAGGUCCCCAAGGGAAUAAGGUAUCUAAAUCCUUUUUGAAGUGGAGGUCAGUCAAAAUUAGGCAAUGGGCAUCUGUCUGUAUUUCUAGAGAGCACAUUCUAUUUGUGUCCUCCAGCCUUUGUGAAUAGGCAAUGUCCUACUUGUGGUUUCUGCCAGCAGCAUGAAGCAAAGUAUCUCUUUCAACAGAUACUUUUUUCAGAUGGGAUUUAGGCCAAAGAAAGACUACAGCUUUGCCGUGGUCUCCUCCUCAUCCUGUACCCUAGGGAGGAGUACUACAGUUACAGUGAAAAGAGUUUUCCCGCUCCAGUACUACCUCAGCGUGCAUGAGUUCUGCAACUCAGGAGCAGCAGGAGGGGAGAGAUAAUCGAGGAAACAAUUCAGCAAAGUUGCAAGAAAGGCCAAGACAACAGGACAGAAGCUUGGCAUGAAGAGCACACAUUAAAAAAAAAGGACGACACAGCUAAAAUAAAUUAAAUAUUAAUAUUUUGACAGUUUGCACAGUCUAGUCCUAACAAAGAAAGAACAUGAGGCCAGCCAAAGCAAGGACGUGAGAGAAGAAAAGUAUGAAAGUUAAAACAAAUUAAAGCACAGCAAAUGAAACAGUACACGCUGCAGGGCAGAACUGGCAAAUAACAAGAUUAUUGACAGCUGGCCUAGUGAUGAGACAUAUUCAUGUGAGGAGGAUGCGUUCCCAGUUGGAUUCAGGGCUGACUUGAGGAGGGCCGCUGCCAUCAGCAUCGUGUAUAUAGGGGGCCUUCCAUUGGAUGAAACUCUGAAGGGAAACCAAGACAAGAAUAAGCGCUGGUUAUUCUACAGAAGAUACAAAGAUACUACAGAAGAUGCAAAACAAAGAAAAUAUUCAGGCCUUCAGCAAAGCCAAUCUGGUGAAUGGCCAAGUGAAUCCAGGGUGUUCCCAUCUGAGAAUCAAGCUGUGAUCAGUCUGCUGUGAUACAUUUGCUACCCAUUUGCAAAUAAAGUGAAAAUGUAGAAACUCACAUCUAAAUGUAAAAUCAGAGGCUCAGUCUUCUUAACCCAUGAAUUCAGGUCUGUUUCUGUCUGUCCCUGCUUCCAGCAUCAAAGAUGUGCUUGGGAGAUAUGAGGUGGAGAGCCCAUCAGUUGGACCCAUACAUGUCCUGGAUGGUGAAAGGCAGUCAGGAGACAUUGGUGUUUUUGCUGAUACUGCUUCUAGAGGGCAGGAAGCCAGAUGGCUUGCUCUGCAAGCUACACCUAAUUUAGGUCUCUUGGGAAAGGGUUGAAUUGAGGCAGUCACCCUUUUCCCACCCCUUCCUUACAGAUUCAUUGCUGAUUCAGGCAUCACUUUCCAGUCCCAGACCCAUCUGAAGAAUUCUAGCCUUAUUGGUCCCUGUCACUCAGUCAGCUUUCAGCUCAGGCAUGACACCAAUACUGCUAGUGCCUUGUUGCCUUGGACAAAGAUUCUUACAUAAAGGUUAACAAGCAUAUUUUGUGACCCAGAGUUGGAGCACUUGUUACAAAAGAGGCUUGUGUGCCCCUCAGUCACUCAGGCCCAUCAUCUCAGUGUGUUCCUGGAUUGAGCACUGUGCCAGGUUGCAAUGGUGGCCAGGAACAACUUCCAUCUACUCCCACAUAGUGAGAAGAAGAUUGCCCUGGCUGUCAAAGUGUAAACACAUGAAGCUACCCUUAUGAGGUAUUAGACCAUUUUUUCCUCUGAUCAGCAGCAGCUCUUUGGGAUUUCAGGUAGGGAUGUGCGAAGGGGUCUGAAUUUGAACCCGUUUGACAUCGAAUGUGGCCAGUUUGAAGGUUCUGUGUAGAACUAUCCCUGAACUGAACCAGCCCCUGUUUGGCCUGAUCUUGGACUGAACAAUCCCCAAUUCGAGUUCGGGGGUUCAUAAAAUAAAUUUUAAAGACAUUUUAAAAUGUAAUUAAACUCACUGCCACCCAGUCUGGGGGCUUCUGCGUGGCUGCAGGGGGUAUCUCCAGAGGUUCCCCCUCCCCCCACCGGCCUCCAUUGAAUUACAAAUAGCCUGAUUCAGGUGGUCUUCGGCCUGUUCUGGGCCAGUCCUCCAUGGCAGUGGCCAUUUUUUUAGCCUUCCGUGCAUGUCCAGUGAACCUCUACAUAGCCGGGUCAUGUCCCAGGCCAUGCACAGGCCCACUGGGCAUGUACGUCGCCCUCCAAAAUGGCCAC